AUGUCCACCUGCCUCAUUGACAUGAUAAAUGCCAAUGAAUUAGAUUUUAUUGGGCUUCAAGAGACUAUGAAGAAGGUAUACUCCUGCGUUUUUAGGAAAAUUGACCCGAACCAUAAAUUUUAUUGGGAAUGGACUCCUUCUAGGGGGAAAUCUGGUGGCCUCCUUUGUGGGCUUAAUAAGGAUAAAUUUGAUAUUCUUAUGACCAAGUGUGGAAAAUACAUCCUGCAGUUGAAUUUGUUCGAUAAGAACAAAAACUGUAGCUGGGCCUUGAUGACUGUGUAUGGUGCUGCACAUGAUGAACAGAAGCCUGAGUUCAUUGCUGAACUGUCAUCCAUGUGCCACAACACUAAUAUUCCCUAUCAAGUUGGGGGAGAUUUUAAUAUCAUUCGACAUAGUGGGGAGAAAAACAGAAAAACAUCCAUGUCCCACUUCUCGGAGGUGUUUAACUCUGUUAUACACUUGCUUGGGUUGAGAGAGAUUUAUAUGACUGGUGGUUGUUAUACCUAGUCCAAUAAACAAGAAAUCCCGACUUUCGAAAAGCUGGAUAGGGUUCUCAUGUCUCCUGAUUGGGAGGAUUUAUAUCCUCUCGCUUCUGUUCAUAAACUGGUCAAAGAAAUAUCAGAUCACAAUCCUUUGUUGGUGGAUGGUGGGAGUGCU
This 657-nucleotide ribosomal RNA is filed under the name Triticum aestivum (bread wheat). RNAcentral describes it as "partial small subunit ribosomal RNA". Lineage: Eukaryota; Viridiplantae; Streptophyta; Magnoliopsida; Poales; Poaceae. The record is from RNAcentral.